Protopterus annectens (West African lungfish) is the source of this 728-nucleotide long non-coding RNA. RefSeq lists it as uncharacterized. The transcript is spliced from 2 exons. The record is from RefSeq and is a predicted model, not a curated record. NCBI's taxonomy places the organism in Eukaryota, Metazoa, Chordata, Ceratodontiformes, Protopteridae.
GUGACCUUGUUACAUCCAGAUGGCUCUGUGCUGAUGUCCCUUGAGACGGCCGUCAUUCUAGCCCCUAGGGUGACCACCCUUCUUGUCUUGCUCUAGAAACAGAAGUGACAUUGCACAACAUAAUUUUACUAAAUAUGUUUCAGCAUAAUUAUGGAAGUUUCUGCUUUUGCUCACCACUGGACUGUUUCCUUUCCAAUACCUCUGAUGUUUAAUCCCACUUUAAUGCAGUACAACAUGAAACGCAGAGAAAUCAGUCCCCCCAAAACACCCUUUUUAAAUGCAGCACAGGAAGGAUCAUGCAAGAAGCUGGCAUACCGGAUACAACAGGACCAUCAGUUGUCAAGAUGAACAAUGAUGAAGACAGAAUUAUCCUUCCGUGAUCACUGUAUCUCACCCAGCCAGCCACGUUUAGCCUCAACAUUAGGACCUUCAGCAUUGUGAGCGAAACAUCUCCUCUUGAUCUGAGUACCCACCACAAGCCCCCUGUCCUGGAAAGUUAUCUAUGUAUUGAUACUUCGGGCCAGAUUACAAAAGUUGCUCUCAGUGUAAGUGACAUGUGAUGUAAAGUCUAUCUAUAAACAGGCUUACACUAAGGGCCAGAUUCGAAAAGAUCUGCUUUGAACAAAUCUUUUGAAAUAUUGGCCUGUGAUGUAAUCAAUGCAUGCUGCACAUUUUGUCUGUUUAAUUGGCAUUUGAUUGAUAAAUAAAAGUCUGUUUGAUACAACUUA